This 491-nucleotide long non-coding RNA is filed under the name Salvia miltiorrhiza (redroot sage). Its description in RNAcentral is "long non-coding RNA (SMIL_LNC004753)". The record is from RNAcentral. Lineage: Eukaryota; Viridiplantae; Streptophyta; Magnoliopsida; Lamiales; Lamiaceae.
CUCAAUAUGGAUUGGAUGAUGUUUACCUUGCACCUUUAGGUGGCUCUCAAUUGGCAUUUAUUCAGAUUCUGGGUGCGCUCGAAUCUGGGCCAUUGCGAGUUUGACCUUUAAAGAUUGCUUGUUACAUCUUCUCUUGGCGUGCUUCUAUGUGGACUAGAUGACUCAAUUCUUUAAUAGGUCUUGGGUGCGCUCGGACCUAGGAUUGCUCGAGUCUAGUUCCAAUGGAGUUGUUACUUUUGGCGAGCGCGUGCUUCCACUCCACUACUACCGGUUCAAGGAGUUGUUACUUUUGGUGAGCGCGUGCUUCUACUUCAUUCCUAGGCGUCAUAAAGCUCAAAGUUUGACACUUACUUUGGAAGCAAGGUGAAGCCCUCCAUAUCGAUGCAUACUUUGGAGGCAAGGCGAAGCCCUCCAUAUCGAUGUAUACUUUGGAAGCAAGGGGAAGCACUCCGCAUCGGCGCAUACUUUGGAAGCAAGGCGAAACACUCCGC